GCGGAAGUGGCGAAAUUGGUAGACGCACCAGAUUUAGGUUCUGGCGCUGCGAGGCGUAAGAGUUCAAGUCUCUUCUUCCGCACCA
Molecule: transfer RNA, 85 nt
Filed under: Vibrio cholerae
Lineage: Bacteria; Pseudomonadati; Pseudomonadota; Gammaproteobacteria; Vibrionales; Vibrionaceae
Also listed under: 1 other name
Description: tRNA-Leu
Rfam family: tRNA
About the family: Transfer RNA (tRNA) molecules are approximately 80 nucleotides in length. Their secondary structure includes four short double-helical elements and three loops (D, anti-codon, and T loops).
Source: RNAcentral